UGGGGAAUUUUGCGCAAUGGGGGAAACCCUGACGCAGCGACGCCGCGUGGAGGAUGAAGGCCUUCGGGUCGUAAACUCCUGUCAGAGGUGAAGAAUGCCCGCAAGGGUUUGACGGUAACCUCAGAGGAAGCCCCGGCUACCUACGUGCCAGCAGCCGCGGUAAUACGUAGGGGGCAAACGUUACUCGGAAUUACUGGGCGUAAAGGGUGCGUAGGCGGCUGGGAAAGUCAAGGAUGAAAUCCCGAGGCUCAACUGCGGAACGGUCCUUGAAACUACUCGGCUUGAGGAUAACCGAAGAGAACGGAAUUCCCGGUGGAGCGGUGAAAUGCGUAGAUAUCGGGAGGAACACCUGAGGCGAAAGCGGUUCUCUAGACUACUCCUGACGCUGAGGCACGAAAGCUAGGGGAGCAAACGG
Molecule: ribosomal RNA, 415 nt
Filed under: uncultured bacterium
Lineage: Bacteria
Description: bacterial SSU rRNA
Rfam family: Bacterial small subunit ribosomal RNA
Source: RNAcentral